This 250-nucleotide non-coding RNA is filed under the name unclassified sequences. RNAcentral describes it as "ARRPOF RNA". It matches the Rfam family "ARRPOF RNA". The record is from Rfam by way of RNAcentral.
AAAAAUCUUACUGUUAUAUUUGUAUCAAGAUUUGUAUAAGGGUUUUAUAACUUAUACAGCCAUUCUGCUCGAAAUGGUGUAGCAUUGGAAACAAUGGUACUGCGAAUUGUAGCAAGGUGUGUGGCGACCUUUAACAGUCAUGGUGGUCUCUUGAGUGGGUAUCUUAUGACAUUAAAAAUAGAAAGUAAGCUAUUAUGUCAGCUGUAGGGCAAGAGUUACAGUCGGUGAAAUUAAGCCGAAUAAGAUAAGU